CAUCUCAAUGCAAAUUUAGUUGAGCACACACAAACUAUUUUAUGUUGCCUUCCGCUAUACAUAAGAUACGGGUAGAUACGUGCAGAAGAUCAAAAUACCAUGUUGUCAUGCUCAUUGUACAGGGUACUGGAAUGGGGGAUGAGAUCUUGAAUGACAAAGGUAGUGAUGCGUGUGUUUGAGAGUGUGCUGCAGACAAGCGAGAAUAACUCUGUGGGGAACUAGCUCCAGUCUGACAGGGCUUUUUAGCUCAGUGUCCAAAACUAGGCAAACAUACUGAGCAAACCUUAGAAGCAAUGUAUCCUUGUUCAGUUACUGUUCUGCGUGGAGCCAGCCUGGGAAACAGCUGCCGUAGCAUGAUUCUUCUACAAAAUGGAUGUACUGUCCACAGUGAAUUCCUGCUUGACCAACCUGAUCACCUUCUAUGAUCCAGUGACCCGUCUGGUGGAUGAGGGAAAGGCUGUUGAUGUGCUCUACCUAGACUUCAGCAAAGCCUUUGACACUGUCUCCCACAGUAUUCUCCUGCAGAAGCUGGCAGAUCGUGGCUUGGACAGAUACACUCUUGGCUGCAUUCCACUACUUUUUUUCUCCUGAGACAAGUGAACAACUGAAGCUCUGCAUCAUGAUAGAACCAAAGAAAUCUGUCUUCUGCCAGAAAACAAGAACCUAGGCUGGUCUAAAAGCGUGAAGAACUUGUGUGGCUCUGUAUGACUCCAGUCUGAUUCUUCUUGCUGAGAAAUUUCCAUUACCCCCUUGAAGGAAUUUAGCAAUGCUAUGCAAUACCACAUGUAGAGCUUUUCAGAAGUUGUUUUCAAAUUCAAAUGGAACAAACAGUUCAAUUAAGAUUAAAAUACCUAGGAAGAGUGGAGUUUUCCAGAAAUCAAAAUGCUUAACAUAUAUUGUUUUAUAGAGGUCUGUAGCCUGCUGAAGAAAUAACUCAGAACAUGCUCUUCUUACUUUAUUGCUCUGUAUUUUGCAAAAUAAGUGGAAUUAAGGAGGAACUUGGAACAGCAUUUUUGCCUUGAUCCAAUUUUUGCAUAAUACACAUUUAACAACUUUCACUUGAAUCACCCUUUUAUGUUAAUCAUUCAGAGUUUUUACAGGAACAUUGGUUUUACAGGAACAUCACUGUUGAAUUCCAUGGAUAUUUUAUUUGUAUCUGUUAAAUUGCUAUCGCACUUG
Gallus gallus (chicken) is the source of this 1179-nucleotide long non-coding RNA. Lineage: Eukaryota; Metazoa; Chordata; Aves; Galliformes; Phasianidae. The record is from Ensembl.